AUGAUAUUAUACAGAGAGAACAAGUAGAAGGGAUUGAAAUUGGGUUAUCAGAUGAUGAGUUACCUAAACAGGUCCAGGGAAAACUAAUACACCUCAGAGAAAGAUUGAAGCAAAGGGAGUUGUGAAAUGUAAAUGCUUCUAAACAUACAUUCUUAGACCUUGGAAUUGUAUUUGAUUUCUUGCUGAGUUGGGAAGUGGCAUUCAAGUAGUGAGCAUUGCAAAUAGCUUUUAGUUUUUUUAUUU
RNAcentral lists this long non-coding RNA (243 nucleotides) under Phaseolus vulgaris (common bean). RNAcentral's name for it is "long non-coding RNA (PVUL_LNC003262)". Lineage: Eukaryota; Viridiplantae; Streptophyta; Magnoliopsida; Fabales; Fabaceae. The record is from RNAcentral.